AUUGAACGCUGGCGGCAUGCCUUACACAUGCAAGUCGAACGGCAGCAUGGGAGCAAUCCUGGUGGCGAGUGGCGAACGGGUGAGUAAUAUAUCGGAACGUGCCCGGUCGUGGGGAUAACGUAGCGAAAGCUACGCUAAUACCGCAUACGAUCUACGGAUGAAAGCGGGGGAUCGCAAGACCUCGCGCGAUUGGAGCGGCCGAUAUCAGAUUAGGUAGUUGGUGAGGUAAAGGCUCACCAAGCCGACGAUCUGUAGCUGGUCUGAGAGGACGACCAGCCACACUGGGACUGAGACACGGCCCAGACUCCUACGGGAGGCAGCAGUGGGGAAUUUGGACAAUGGGCGCAAGCCUGAUCCAGCAAUGCCGCGUGCAGGAUGAAGGCCUUCGGUUGU
RNAcentral lists this ribosomal RNA (393 nucleotides) under uncultured bacterium. RNAcentral's name for it is "bacterial SSU rRNA". It matches the Rfam family "Bacterial small subunit ribosomal RNA", at positions 30 to 426 of the family's 1533-position model. The record is from RNAcentral.